GCUUCUUAGUUGGUAAAGUACUCGUCUAGCAUACAAGAACCGUGGGUUCAAAUCCCAUCUGAGCA
Non-coding RNA from Aedes aegypti (yellow fever mosquito), 65 nucleotides. NCBI's taxonomy places the organism in Eukaryota, Metazoa, Arthropoda, Insecta, Diptera, Culicidae. The record is from Rfam.